Long non-coding RNA from Folsomia candida, 195 nucleotides. RefSeq lists it as uncharacterized. The transcript is spliced from 2 exons. The record is from RefSeq and is a predicted model, not a curated record. NCBI's taxonomy places the organism in Eukaryota, Metazoa, Arthropoda, Collembola, Entomobryomorpha, Isotomidae.
UUAAGGGCCCUCCUUAGAGGUCAAAGGUCACCGGGGGUGUGGCUGUGGGUGGGGUGGGUGGUCUCGGGAACUUGGAAAAAUUACUGGAAACUUGGAAAUUGCUGGGUGACGUCAUCCACCGACUGCCUCACUCCCGGAAUGGAAUAAUCGUUGCGGGGCGCUUGUAUACGGGACGGAACCAAGGAUAGGAGACAU